CUCGCGAGGCCGCGGUCGCUGCGCGAAGACGCGAACAUCCGCGAGUUCCCGCGAUUAGUUAUCCGGGCCACCUCAGAGGCACUCCCUUUUUUGCCCUCCAGCGUGUACCGGUGGUCUCAUGUCCUUUCUCUGUGCUAUGCCAUCUAAGAGUUGUUCUAUACCAACUUAGAGGACAUCUCAGGAACCCAAGUGACCAAUGUACUUUGAAGUCUCUGGUGAGUUUGGUCCUAAUUUAUAGCUGUUCUGUCAUAUUAAUACUUGUAGGCCAGAGGCAGGUCCCUA
RNAcentral lists this long non-coding RNA (282 nucleotides) under Capra hircus (goat). RNAcentral's name for it is "lncRNA (ENSCHIG00000007501.1)". The record is from RNAcentral. Lineage: Eukaryota; Metazoa; Chordata; Mammalia; Artiodactyla; Bovidae.